ACAACUUUCAGCAACGGAUCUCUUGGCUCUCGCAUCNNNNNNGAACGCAGCGAAAUGCGAUAAGUAAUGUGAAUUGCAGAAUUCAGUGAAUCAUCGAAUCUUUGAACGCACCUUGCGCCUCUUGGUAUUCCGAGAGGCAUGCCUGUUUGAGUGUCAUUAA
This 160-nucleotide ribosomal RNA is filed under the name Marasmius nigrobrunneus. Its description in RNAcentral is "5.8S ribosomal RNA". It matches the Rfam family "5.8S ribosomal RNA". Rfam says of the family: 5.8S ribosomal RNA (5.8S rRNA) is a component of the large subunit of the eukaryotic ribosome. The record is from RNAcentral. Lineage: Eukaryota; Fungi; Basidiomycota; Agaricomycetes; Agaricales; Marasmiaceae.